UUGCUUUCUUUGCUGACGAGCGGCGGACGGGUGAGUAAUGCCUGGGAAUAUGCCUUAGUGUGGGGGAUAACUAUUGGAAACGAUAGCUAAUACCGCAUAACGUCUUCGGACCAAAGAGGGGGACCUUCGGGCCUCUCGCGCUAAGAUUAGCCCAGGUGGGAUUAGCUAGUUGGUGAGGUAAAGGCUCACCAAGGCAACGAUCCCUAGCUGGUCUGAGAGGAUGAUCAGCCACACUGGAACUGAGACACGGUCCAGACUCCUACGGGAGGCAGCAGUGGGGAAUAUUGCACAAUGGGGGAAACCCUGAUGCAGCCAUGCCGCGUGUAUGAAGAAGGCCUUCGGGUUGUAAAGUACUUUCAGUCGUGAGGAAGGCAUUGUAGUUAAUAGCUGCAGUGCUUGACGUUAGCGACAGAAGAAGCACCGGCUAACUCCGUGCCAGCAGCCGCGGUAAUACGGAGGGUGCGAGCGUUAAUCGGAAUUACUGGGCGUAAAGCGCAUGCAGGCGGUCUGUUAAGCAAGAUGUGAAAGCCCGGGGCUCAACCUCGGAACCGCAUUUUGAACUGG
Molecule: ribosomal RNA, 564 nt
Filed under: Photobacterium sp. B13 S3-7
Lineage: Bacteria; Pseudomonadati; Pseudomonadota; Gammaproteobacteria; Vibrionales; Vibrionaceae
Description: bacterial SSU rRNA
Rfam family: Bacterial small subunit ribosomal RNA
Source: RNAcentral